Molecule: ribosomal RNA, 253 nt
Filed under: uncultured bacterium
Lineage: Bacteria
Description: partial 16S ribosomal RNA
Rfam family: Bacterial small subunit ribosomal RNA
Source: RNAcentral
UACGGAGGGGGCAAGCGUUAUUCGGAAUUAUUGGGCGUAAAGGGCGCGUAGGCGGCUAGAUGUGUCAAAGGUGAAAUCCCUCGGCUCAACUGAGGAACUGCCUUUGAAACUGUCUGGCUUGGGGCCGGGAGAGGGUAGCGGAAUUCCCAGUGUAGCGGUGAAAUGCGUAGAUAUUGGGAGGAACACCAGUGGCGAAGGCGGCUACCUGGACCGGUUCUGACGCUGAGGCGCGAAAGCGUGGGUAGCAAACAGG